AUUGAACGCUGGCGGCAGGCUUAACACAUGCAAGUCGAGCGGAGAUGAGGUGCUCGCACCUUAUCUUAGCGGCGGACGGGUGAGUAAUGCUUAGGAAUCUGCCUAUUAGUGGGGGACAACAUUCCGAAAGGAAUGCUAAUACCGCAUACGUCCUACGGGAGAAAGCAGGGGAUCUUCGGACCUUGCGCUCAUAGAUGAGCCUAAGUCGGAUUAGCUAGUUGGGGGGGUAAAGGCCUACCAAGGCGACGAUCUGUAGCGGGUCUGAGAGGAUGAUCCGUCACACUGGGACUGAGACACGGCCCGGACUCCUACGGGAGGCAGCAGUGGGGAAUAUUGGACAAUGGGGGGAACCCUGAUCCAGCCAUGCCGCGUGUGUGAAGAAGGCCUUAUGGUUGUAAAGCACUUUAAGCGAGGAGGAGGCUACUGAGACUAAUACUCUUGGAUAGUGGACGUUACUCGCAGAAUAAGCACCGGCUAACUCUGUGCCAGCCGCCGCGGUAA
Molecule: ribosomal RNA, 501 nt
Filed under: uncultured bacterium
Lineage: Bacteria
Description: partial 16S ribosomal RNA
Rfam family: Bacterial small subunit ribosomal RNA
Source: RNAcentral